GUUCUAGUUGUGGAGUGAAAAAUCCUUCACUCGGAACGAGAGACACUCUUCUUAGCUCAAACUCCAUGUUCUCUGACGGAUUUUGUGGCCAUGGUAUGUUCUGCACUGUUGAAGAUCUUGGGGUGCAUUGAGUACUAGGUGAACUCACAUUAUGAACCGCACUAUCCUUGAACAUGUGGGAUUUUAUGUCUUUUUCGUCAAAGCUUCUAACCAAAAUCGUUAGCUUUCUCCAGAAAGAAAUUUCGGAGUCCUCAUAAAACGUGUGCCUAUGUUCAUAAAAGAAAAAGGCCACAAAGACGAGAAGAGCCAAGAGCGAAGUAACACCUACUAUUAGAAAUAGACCCCAAAAGCUACUGACGCUAAGCCGGUUGUGUGAAGGAAUGAGUGUUGGAUCAGAACAGUUACUCUUUUUGGAGAACCAUUUAUUCUCGAUUUGUUGCAUUUCAUCGUUUUCAAUCACUUCCAAGAUAGCCCUCGAGACAUCAUCCGUCAAAGGUGAAUUCUUGGGGAAUACCUACACCGAGCAUGAAAUUAAUUAAUGCGAGCAAUGAAAAUAUUAAAUACCUAAAGUGAAACUUAUUGUGUAAUUUUGUAGAGGUAAAGUUAAAGGAAAGGGAAAGAACUUACAAAGCCAAAACCAGAACUCUUAAAAGAAGGUUCAACAAUUGCAUAUUUGUUGCAAUACUGAGAAAUUAUAACUUUAAGGUAAGCCACCUCAUCGAAAGCUGCUGCAAUACCUCCUUUCGAUGUCCCAGUGAUCAAAAGCGUGUGGCAUUCUUCAGCAGAAUUAUAAGCCUUGAGUUUAGAACCUUGAAAUCCUUUAUUUAUCAAAAAUUUAAGCACGAAAGAACCGUUUUGGUAUCCUACAAUCUCCUCGUUUUUUAUAAGUUCAUUCACAGUGGUGACUUCUGGUUUAAGCCGUUGUACUGUAAGGAAAGAUGUGAGGUUUGCUGUGUAACUCUGAGUCAGCACUAGCACCACAAAGCACCAGACGAUCACCACAAACCUUGCUAAAUUGCUCACUACCUUCUCUCCUGUAUACACACAGCACACGCUUUAAUAUGUAUCACGCAAACCUCGUAUUGACAGUAAAUUGGGAUCUAUUAUAUUAUAUUGGCAACCCAAACCUCUUCACUCACUACGAAUAUGCAUGCAAGUCUAUAAGCUUUAGCAUUUAUCAUCAGUGAAUGCUUUUAGUAAACUUACGGUGGGCAAAGUUAAUAGUGGAGAAGGAGAACCAGAAACUAGUGCCGAUCUGGUGGUGAGGCGGUCCACGAAAGUCGGUGUUGACUCUGUGUUCUAAAAUCCACACAAUAAACCCAAUGAAUAUGAAGAAGCAAGCGGUAGUGACCCAUAGGUCUAAGCUCCAUGGUUGGAGAAAAAACCAUGUAUUGUUUUCAUUGUCCUUCAUUGGUACCAACAUAAACACACCAGACUCUGUGUAUGGUAACGUGAAAUCAACAGACAAAAACCUAUUUUCUCUGAUGGUUAUAUCUCCCACAGCUGCGUCGAACAUCUGUCUCAUUUAUUAAUGAUUUUUUUAGAAAACACACAUCCAAAGAUAGAGCUAUGUAAUCUUAUUAUAGAGAUCAUUUUUUUUUAUAUGGAAGUGGAUGAACAAACAACAUUUAUAUUUUGGAUUUGUAAGAAAAAGAGAACUAACCCCAUUAUGGACUUGCUCUACCAGAGUGUCGUAGCUAUGAUUUGGCGUAUCGAAAGUGACGUAGCGGUGGAUGACUGAGUAAGGCAACCUUUUAAGAGCAGCUUCAAAGACUUCUAUGGAGUAACCUGUUGGUAUUGUUGCCUUCCUCGGAUCAGCUUGCUUUACAUCCACAAAGCCUAAAAAUCCUCUCUUCAAUGGAACACCUACUUUAAAUGUUUUCUUCCCGUCCGUUGGAAUCUCCCAUCCUCUCGGAAUGACUGUCGACUUCCCGGGCCAUAUCACAGGACCCAACCUCUCACUUGUUGGAUUUUCAUUCACAAGUCCAUUGGUUUGUGUCCAGGAUCCGAUAAUCCUCUCUUCUUUUCCAAUAAAAUUGAUGAUAUCAAAAGUUGAUGACUCGAGCUCCAUGUUAACGAGUUUAAAUUUUCCUGCUAAACCGUUGAAGUCUACAUCCGACAGAGCCUUUAGAAGACUUGGACCGUAGCGAGAGACCCCUAGUGUCCCCAAAUCCGUCGUGUUAUUUAAGAAUGCGCUAAUAAGUUUAUCAUACCGUAAGUUCUUUGUGUCCGCUUUCUCCACGGCCAUGGCCAAUGCAGUUAUCGAAUCAUACGCCCGUAACGCAAAAACGUUUGGUUUUGCAUUAGCCUGCCCAAAUAUUGUCUCCCAUCUCAAGCUGAAGUUUCCAAGCUCUUUUGAGUUGGGGAUACGGCUUCUCAAACCCAACACCCCUUGCAUAUUCUCCAAGCUGCUACCGUGUUCGGUAGAGCUAAUCCAAUUCGUCAUUCCAUCUGUAAAUAUCCAUACGUACCCUUCCCCCAUCAUCCCAAUAUCUCUAGCUUUCUGAAUAACCCGAAACCCAAGAUUUGGUGGCAUGUGGGCAACAAACACCCUUGUCUGCAUUGUCAUGAGCUUGUAAAGCUGGUUUGUAAUCUGAUCAUUGCUAGCCUCCAGUGAGAUCACACUUCUAAUCGUUAUACAAGUAUGCACAUCUUGUAAAGCGUCAGCCAAGUAUGGCAUGAUUCCUUCUCCGAAUUCGUUGUCCACAUAAAUUGCGACAACACUUCUCCAUUCAAAGGAUUUGACAAUGGCCGCAAUGGCUCUGACCUGUGAUAAGUCAUUAAGAGUGGCUCGGACGAAGUAAGGGGUCUUGGUAGAUGUCAAAAGAGGGCUUGUUGCCGAGAAUGUGAUGACAGGUACUUGAGAUUUGUUGGCCAGUCUAAUCAUAAACUCGGCUUGCAGAGAGCUUCGUGGUCCGAUGAUGGCGCUCACUUUCUCGUUCUUGAUUAGGUCCAAAGCUGCUUGCAACACAAGAAACACACAAAUGAAAAUAUUAUGAGUAAGUUAUCCAUCAAUAACUUUCUGAGUCUAGACAUUGUUCUCAAACUAGGUUUCUUAUGUACUGUUGCUUUAUCUUUUUUAUUUGAUCCAUUUUAAAUAGUUUUGGGUAUCUGAGUUUCUUUGUAUAUUUACUUCAUUUCAUUCUUUAAUUUUUCUUUGUUGAAAAGGAUCAACAUGUUAAUAGAAAAAAAAUCAAAAUUAUUUUGUGAUUAUGAGUAGAGUUUAUCAAUGUAUAGAUAAAGAGGUUAACAAGUUCAAUUAUAUUUUAGAAAAGAAGUUCAAUAAUAGGUAUAAAGAGAGUAACUAAAAUGAAGCAUGGGUAUUUAGUUAUAUUUCAUUCCAUAUUAAAAAAAAAAAAAAAUCAAGAGUAGGCAAAUGUGUGUGAUUUGAAAUUGGUCAAUCGCUAAGCUAUUAACUUUUUGUAGCUCAGUUGGUUAAACUCCAUUCAAAAAAAAAAAAUUGGCCAAUAGCUAAGCCAUUUUAAACUUACAUGAUACUAAAAAUGUACAUUUACGUUUUUUAAUGUAUAAUCGUUUGUCAUCAUUUAAAUAGAUUACAUAAAAGUUCAGAAUUUUUAUGGAUUUAUUAUUGGUGGUCUACUGCAGGUUGGAACAUAAAUGCAUCCAACAUUCACUACUUUUACAUUUGUAUUCAUUAAAAUUCACAUUUAUCUAUAUUUUAUAGUUUUUAUAUUACAAGUAUAUAAUAUGUAUCAAAGGAGAGUGGACUGAUUUUCAAAUACCCAAGGAAAGCAAAGUUCUCAAAUCUAAUAUAAUGUCUAUGGGCUCCUCUCUUUUUUUUUUUCUGUCUGCUUCGAUCCAUUCCUGUGGGACUAGAUAUUAAUUUUUCACUCUAGCUGUACGACAGGAACUUUGGUUGGUUAGAUGUAGAAGACGCGGAUGCGGGUGUGAUAAUUUCCCGAAACUGGUGGUUCCAGUUUCAAGUAUUAUUAUGCCACUCAUAUGAUCAGUAUAGCGUUGAAAUACUUAUGAUUAGUUGAAUAUUGAAUGAAAUAGCAGUUAAACAAAAAAUUAUUAGUAUAAUUUUAUUCUACAAUGAUAAGCACGUCAAAAACUAUAUUAUUAUAGUACAAUAUUAAAUAUUUAUCUCAGUAUAGUUAGAAAUAAAAAUAAUAUGUAUAAUACCAAUUUAUAUUUUUUUAACUUUUAGUUUGUAUGAAUGUCUAGUUUCAAUUUAGAAAAAGUACUUUUUGUAGAAAUUAAUGUUUGAUUCCAAAAUAAUAGGUUGUAGAUUAGAUAUAUUAGCAAUCGAGAAAUAAAUUAUCAAGAAAUUUUUAAUUUUAAUAUUUUGUAAAUAUAAAUUAUGAUAAUUAAUUAGUGAAUAUUAACUAGACAAUGAAAUUUUAUGUUUAUCUUUUUUUAAAUAAUGUUUAAAUUUACUUAUUAUAUGUAUUAAUUAUGAUUUUAAAUGAAUUUUGUCUAUUUCAAAGAGAUUUUUUUAAUAACCAUAUGUAACCAAACACAUUCAAGGAAAUUUUUUAUGAUUUUGAAAAUCUAGAAUGUUAUAAAUGAUUAAAAAAAAAAGCAUUUUCAAUAAUUGUUACUAAACGCCAAUAAUCUAAUCGCUACCAUCCGUUAGUUCGAUGUUUUUGUAGGGGAAGAAGGACCAUCUAACUCCAAAAACUUGAAAGAUAAAAUGAAAAUGGAGAUAUUAAUUGUCCAUCAACAAUUUUCUUUAAUAAAUACAGACCACAGGAGAUAAUAUUUCUUCCGUUUUCUGAAUAGUCAACAGAAUGUUUCAUCUCUCUUCCAACGGAACAAGUUCAUACAGAUAUUAUCUUAUCCCAUACGAUUAAAAUUAGAACAGUGUGAGUCCAUGUGUGUAAGAAAAAGAAAACCUCCAUUUCCUAGUUAUUUCCAUUCUACCAAAGAACUUUCUUUAAUAAGUAACAAAAUUAAAUCGGCUAUAUUUUGCACCCACCAAGAAAACAAAGUUGGAGUUUGAAAACCUUUUUUGUUGAAUAUUCUUGUAGUUUUGUGAGAAGUUAAAAAGGUUGAGAAUAGCCGUUCAUAUAUGGCUAAAUACUUAUAACAGAAAGUACUGAAAUUCAUUUAAGAAAUUGGUUUAAUUAACUCUGGCCGUAAACCUGGCCUUAGUUCGUAAGUAGGUGGUAGUACUAACGUUUCAUUCAACAGCAACGGCGGAGAGGCAAAACAAGAGAGACAGAGAAAAGAACCUAACCUGCAGCUGAAGCCUGAACAGGAUCUUCCAAGGAAUCUCUUAUAUGAAUCGCAAGUCUUGUGGUGUAAUUAGAAUGAUUUUCGUAGAAAUCAGACAACGACAUAUUAAUGGAAGUGAGGCAGAUCUGGGAAAAAGGAGUUUGGAGAUCAAGAACUAUUCCUAUUUUGAUUUCACUUGUUGGGUUUUUUCGUAAACCAACGUUCAUCAUCAUAAAACCCCAAAAGAACGGGACUCCCAAAAAGAUAUUAUUAGCUUUUGUAGGGUUCAUCAUCUUCGUCCAAAGAUUCUGGAACUUUAUGUCACUCUUUAACUUUGCCUUUUUCUGUAGGAUAUAUAGGACAGAAAACAAGUUUUAUUCCAAGAAUUAUACAUACAAUUGAAAUUAAAAAAUAAAAUUCAUUAAAAGGUAUGAAGAUAAAUAUCUAUUAAUAUAUAAUAAUUUAAAUAUAUUAAAAUAAAAAAAUAUUAAUAAAAAUAAAAAAAUAAAUAGAUUUUAAACCCAAAAUGUAUUUAUUUUUAAAAACAGAAAAUGCGGAUCUAGGUUUUAAUGUUUACUGUUUAAAGUUUAGAUUAAUUUAGUUUUUACUAUUUAAUAAAGAGAAAACAUUUUUUGUCCUUUUUUCGACACAAUUACACUUACCCUUUUUUAGACUAAAUGAAACAAAUAGUCUUAGGAAUUAAAAAAAAUUAUAAAAAAUAGAAUCAAUUGAUGAAAUACCAUAUACAAACUGAUAUUUAUUUGAAUUGUAAAACUUGUUAAAUUAAAAAUUUUAAUUAUGUUCUACGGAAAGAAGAUUUCAUCUUCUACGAAAAAUGGCAUGAUAAAAAUUGAAUUCUACUUUAAACAAUUUAUUCUACUUUCUCUAGAACCAAUAAUCUACUUUUAAAUAGAAUUCUAAAUACGAGGAAUGUGAUGUCUACGCAUUGUAAAUGUAGCUACAUUUAUUCUAAAUGCAGCUUCUACUUCUAUGAACAAUUCUAAAGUUGAAAACAAAAUCUAGACACGACUCAAAAUGCUACAUAUGGUAGAAUCUACUUAUGAAUUAGUUGUAUGUUCUUUACAUAGUGUAGAAGCUACAUUCUACGGAUAAAAAUAACCAUAUUUUCAAAAAUAUUUCUGAAAAUAUUUGGAAUUUUUUUUACUUUCCUAAAACGUAUUUCAACGAUUUUGUUGUAGAAAAAAUAGAUUUUCAUUUAUUUCUUUUGAUUUAUUUUCAAAAAAUCAAAAAAAAGUAAUUUUUUUUAUUUCUUUUAAAUUAUACUUAAGAAUAUAUAUAUACAUAUAUAUAUAUAUGUAUAUAUUUAAAAUUAUAAUUUACAUAGAUUUUCAUUUAUUUAUUUUGGUUAUGAGAUAUUAAAUAAAAUUUUAGAAAAAUAAAAAUUGUAUAAAAAUUAUAUAAUUAUCAAAAGUAAAAUUAAGCAGAAUUCAUAUAUUAAAGUAAUUUGGGCAAAAUGGGAGAAAAUGUGUGCGCCUAGGGAAGAGGGAGGAAUUGGAUUCCGUAUGAUCCAUGAAUUUAAUCUAGCCCUCCUAGCCAAAUAGCUAUGGCGCCUUGUUCAAUAUCCAGAUUCAUUAGUGGCAAGAGUUCUUCGGAGGAAAUAUUACCGUCUAAGUUCGCCCUUGCGUUCUGGUGCUGUGGAUUCCCCAUCGUAUAUUUGGACGAGUAUCAUAGCGGCAAGGAAGCUACUACUAUUGGGCAUCAGGAGUAAGGUACACUCAGGAUACGAAAUUAAUGUGUGGGAGGACCCCUGGAUUCCUUCGACGCCGGCAAGGCCAGCAAGAUCAAGAGUCCCAGUUGUACAUCCAAGCAUGACCGUCAGCAGCCUUAUUAAUUUCGAGUCAAAAAAAUGGGAUGCCCGAUUACUGGAACAAUAUGUGGACCAAGAAGACAUUCCGUUGAUUAAGAGUAUGGCCAUAAGCCCUACUCACCGACGAGACACUUAUUGUUGGAGCUAUACUAAAAGUGGUCAAUAUACGGUAAAGUCUGGAUAUUGGGUUGCUAUGAACGUGAUGAGAACAGAGGAGGCUUUAGAAGUCCUACAACCCAAUAUAACUAAACUCCAAGCCUUUGCUUGGACAGUAAAUGCGCCACAAAAAAUUUGCCAUCUUAUAUGGCAAUUAAUCUCUGGACAGGUAGCGGUAACGAGGAAUCUAAUACGCCGAAAUAUGCGAUGUGAGAACUACUGCCCAAGAUGUGGUGAGCCAGAGGAAACUGUUACUCAUGCAAUCUUUGAAUGCCCUCCAGCAUUACAAGCAUGGGCCUUAUCAUCUACACCAUCGAGCUCUCAAACCUUUCCGGUACCAAGUGUUUACGCUAAUAUGGAUUAUUUGUUCUGGAGGAAGAAUAAUAUAAUGGAGCCAGAAGAUGAUAGGGACCCUUAUCCUUGGAUAAUUUGGUACAUUUGGAAAGCCAGAAAUGAUAAGUUGUUUAGAGGCAUCGAUAGAGACCCAUUGGAGCUAGUUAGGUAUGCAGAAAGUGAGUAUCUUGCUUCAACAAACUUUCUUUCUCAUUCUACUUCCCGUAAAGUAUUAGCUUCCUCAUCUUCAUCUUGUUCUAGUUGUGGAGUGGAAAAUUCUUCACUCGGAACGGGAGACACUCUUCUUAGCUCAAACUCCAUGUUCUCUGACGGAUUUUGUGGCCAUGGUAUGUUCUGCAUUGUGGAAGAUCUUGGGGUGCAUUGAGUACUAGGUGAACUCACAUUAUGAACCGCACUAUCCUUGAACAUGUGGGAUUUUAUGUCUUUUUCGUCAAAGCUUCUAACCAAAAUCGUUAGCUUUCUCCAGAAAGAAAUUUCGGAGUCCUCAUACAGCGUGUGCCUAUG
Molecule: long non-coding RNA, 8023 nt
Filed under: Brassica napus (rape)
Lineage: Eukaryota; Viridiplantae; Streptophyta; Magnoliopsida; Brassicales; Brassicaceae
Description: long non-coding RNA (BNAP_LNC016365)
Source: RNAcentral